This 253-nucleotide ribosomal RNA is filed under the name uncultured bacterium. RNAcentral's name for it is "partial 16S ribosomal RNA". It matches the Rfam family "Bacterial small subunit ribosomal RNA", at positions 524 to 776 of the family's 1533-position model. The record is from RNAcentral.
GACGGAGGGGGCUAGCGUUGUUCGGAAUGACUGGGCGUAAAGGGCGCGUAGGCGGCUUUUUAAGUGAGGCGUGAAAGCCCUGGGCUUAACCCAGGAGGUGCGUUUCAGACUGAAAGGCUUGAGUGCGAGAGAGGAAAGUGGAAUUCCUAGUGUAGAGGUGAAAUUCGUAGAUAUUAGGAAGAACACCCGUGGCGAAGGCGGCUUUCUGGCUCGCAACUGACGCUGAGGCGCGAAAGCGUGGGGAGCAAACAGG